Molecule: long non-coding RNA, 522 nt
Filed under: Fukomys damarensis (Damara mole-rat)
Lineage: Eukaryota; Metazoa; Chordata; Mammalia; Rodentia; Bathyergidae
Description: lncRNA (ENSFDAG00000032892.1)
Source: RNAcentral
GGUUAUUCCUGGCCUUGGAACUGAGAUUCCAUUCUGUCCAAUACCUUCCGUUCCUCAGAUGCCACAGCUUACGUGAAGCACAGUGCUGACUGCACGCUGCACUCAUUCCCGUGCCCUGAUCCUGCCUGAUCUCAAGCCGAGUCACACUCUGUGCAGAACACCUCAGCAGCUUCCCAUCAACUUCAAGCUGAAUGCUAGAGUCCCACCGUGGCAUGCAGGUUCCCACCCUGCUCCCUUCUCUGCCCGUUCCGCUGUCCUGUUCUGUUCUCCAAGGUCACACCCUCGCCGCCUCCUGGCUGCCUCACGGCAUUCCUGUGUGCUGAGGUUGUUUAACUCACUAGAGUUACCCAUUCGAGGGACCAGGAUUUAGCUCAGUAGUUCCACCACCUGCCUUGCAAACGCAAGGACCCAAGUUCAAUCCCUGUUACUAAAAAAAUAAGAAUUACCCAUUCGUGGUUUUUGUGAUGAAGUCUCUCAAAUUGAUUUUUCCUCAAGCCAAAUAAAUAAAACUCACAAAACACC